Aegilops tauschii subsp. strangulata is the source of this 473-nucleotide long non-coding RNA. RefSeq lists it as uncharacterized. The record is from RefSeq and is a predicted model, not a curated record. NCBI's taxonomy places the organism in Eukaryota, Viridiplantae, Streptophyta, Magnoliopsida, Poales, Poaceae.
GCAUCGCCAAGAAAGAGAUCAAACAUACAGUGUAGAAAAGAGAUAAGUAGAGCUAGCUAGCUUUGCAUAUCUUGGCAUGGCGUUUACCAAGAGGAGCACAGGCGUGGUAUGCUUGGCGGCCCUCAUGGUGGUGAUGGCCACUGUGAUGCUGUCCUGUGAUGCCGAAUCAGAUAUCUGCUUUGAUAUUCCCGGACCAUGCGUGCAGUCGUUAUGCAAGGAUGCAUGUGCUAAAAAUAAUACCCCAAAUAGACCCCACUGCCAGCCCGUGACUGAUGAAUGCUGUUGUGACAUGGCCGCAAGGCCCGAGGUCGACGACGUCGUCCAUCAUGCUUGAUAACAUAACCUUGAAUCAUUAUUGGACAAACAUUGUCAGUGAUCAGGACAUGUAUAUGCAUGCAUGCAUGCAUGCGUGUCAGCAAUUGCAUUUUGAAUAACAAAAAACACAAAAGAGUAAAUCAUUAUUCUGAGUUUGA